Aphis gossypii (cotton aphid) is the source of this 480-nucleotide long non-coding RNA. RefSeq lists it as uncharacterized. The transcript has 3 exons. Lineage: Eukaryota; Metazoa; Arthropoda; Insecta; Hemiptera; Aphididae. The record is from RefSeq and is a predicted model, not a curated record.
UUAAUCAGGCACUCUAUUUUUUGUUAUACUGUAAUAGGUACACUUGUUGAGAAAACAUUUUUUUUUUUUUUUUAUCAACUACCAACCAAAGGUAAAUUAUAAAUUAAUAAGAUUCUUUAUAUGGCAUACGCCUAAUGAUGAGUGUGAAGAAAAAGCUCCCUACAAAUAUUUCAUUAGGAAAAGUUAUGGAAAAUGAUAAAAAAGCCAAAACUUAUUGCCCCCCCCCUAGUAGAAAUAUUCUGGCUACGUAACUAAGUACUUCUACCAUGGUGCUGACUGGGUUUAUAGUUGACGUCAGUUGUCAACUUGAAGUGAACCUCUGUCUCACUAUUUUGUCUACUCAAUACAUAAUUUUUCAAUAAUGCGUCGUGAUCAAAUGAGUAACCAACAUAUUGGUAUCUACGUUUUCUAAUAUUAUCCACAUCAUUCUAGAAAGACAAACAAGAUUUUAGAUGUACAAUAUGGAUUAUUAAUGGUAAG